RNAcentral lists this ribosomal RNA (445 nucleotides) under uncultured Streptococcus sp. Its description in RNAcentral is "bacterial SSU rRNA". It matches the Rfam family "Bacterial small subunit ribosomal RNA", at positions 936 to 1382 of the family's 1533-position model. Lineage: Bacteria; Bacillati; Bacillota; Bacilli; Lactobacillales; Streptococcaceae. The record is from RNAcentral.
AGCAUGUGGUUUAAUUCGAAGCAACGCGAAGAACCUUUACCAGGUCUUGACAUCCCGAUGCUAUUUCUAGAGAUAGAAAGUUACUUCGGUACAUCGGUGACAGGUGGUGCAUGGUUGUCGUCAGCUCGUGUCGUGAGAUGUUGGGUUAAGUCCCGCAACGAGCGCAACCCCUAUUGUUAGUUGCCAUCAUUCAGUUGGGCACUCUAGCGAGACUGCCGGUAAUAAACCGGAGGAAGGUGGGAUGACGUCAAAUCAUCAUGCCCCUUAUGACCUGGGCUACACACGUGCUACAAUGGUUGGUACAGCGAGUUGCGAGUCGGUGACGGCGAGCUAAUCUCUUAAAGCCAAUCUCAGUUCGGAUUGUAGGCUGCAACUCGCCUACAUGAAGUCGGAAUCGCUAGUAAUCGCGGAUCAGCACGCCGCGGUGAAUACGUUCCCGGGCCUU